RNAcentral lists this ribosomal RNA (254 nucleotides) under uncultured bacterium. RNAcentral describes it as "partial 16S ribosomal RNA". It matches the Rfam family "Bacterial small subunit ribosomal RNA", at positions 524 to 776 of the family's 1533-position model. The record is from RNAcentral.
CACGUAGGGUCCAAGCGUUGUCCGGAUCUAUUGGGCGUAAAGAGCUCGUAGGCGGCUUGGUAAGUCGAGUGUGAAAACUCUGGGCUCAACUCAGAGACGCCACUCGAUACUGCUAUGGCUAGAGUCCGGUAGGGGAGUGUGGAAUUCCCGGUGUAGCGGUGAAAUGCGCAGAUAUCGGGAGGAACACCAGUAGCGAAGGCGGCACUCUGGGCCGGAACUGACGCUGAGGAGCGAAAGCGUGGGGAGCGAACAGG